GUGGGGAAUAUUGGACAAUGGGCGAAAGCCUGAUCCAGCCAUGCCGCGUGUGUGAAGAAGGUCUUCGGAUUGUAAAGCACUUUAAGUUGGGAGGAAGGGCAGUAAGUUAAUACCUUGCUGUUUUGACGUUACCGACAGAAUAAGCACCGGCUAACUUCGUGCCAGCAGCCGCGGUAAUACGAAGGGUGCAAGCGUUAAUCGGAAUUACUGGGCGUAAAGCGCGCGUAGGUGGUUUUGUAAGUUGGAGGUGAAAUCCCCGGGCUCAACCUGGGAACUGCCUCCAAAACUGCAUGACUAGAGUACGGUAGAGGGUAGUGGAAUUUCCUGUGUAGCGGUGAAAUGCGUAGAUAUAGGAAGGAACACCAGUGGCGAAGGCGACUACCUGGACUAAUACUGACACUGAGGUGCGAAAGCGUGGGGAGCAAACAGGAUUAGAAACCCGAGUAGUCC
Molecule: ribosomal RNA, 450 nt
Filed under: uncultured bacterium
Lineage: Bacteria
Description: partial 16S ribosomal RNA
Rfam family: Bacterial small subunit ribosomal RNA
Source: RNAcentral